GCUGGGCCGGCCUCGGGCCUGGCCCUGGGCCUGGCCGGGUUGCCCCGUCCGUGGGUGCCCCGUGCGCCCGCCCGCGCGUUGUGCCGAGGCCCCCACAGCCCUCCCUAUGCAGCGCUGUUUCCCUUCCCGUGUGCUGCGUUGCUUCUCCCUCCGCCCUGAACAGGCCUGUGCUGUCGCUGCCCAGCUCCUUCUCUGCUCUCACACCAGUGCCUCGUGUCCUGUGCCUCUGAACAGCCCCGUCCAGCAGACUGAUCACUGCCCUGCAAGCUAAUGAACAGGUACAGUUUCCGCCUCAACAAAAUCAAACCUGCUCAGGAGGAACUACGGCUACGUGGUCUCCAUCAACUGCUGGUGUUCAAUCUCCAUGAACGGUUUUGUCAGUGGACUUGAAUGAGACUGCAGAGAAAUAUCAAGCUGGUUACUUCUGUUUCAUGGCUGUGUGUUAUUUCAAAGAUAUGGCACACUGAUUUCAAAAGCAUUUGCUGGAAUGCUUCUAUUGAAAGCAUAGGAAGAGAGAAGAAAGAGUGGAUCUCAAACCAUAAAGAGUUAAAUCAAAUCUUGCUGUUAACAAUUUUCCUUGGUUUCUUCUCCCUAGUUAUGUGAAGUUCUUUAUUUAAAAAAUCCUUUUCUUGACACUCUUUCAUGGUAUGAG
This 652-nucleotide long non-coding RNA is filed under the name Apteryx owenii (little spotted kiwi). Its description in RNAcentral is "lncRNA (ENSAOWG00000000167.1)". The record is from RNAcentral. Lineage: Eukaryota; Metazoa; Chordata; Aves; Apterygiformes; Apterygidae.